UGAGAAGCUUCGACUAAGGUUCGAUUCGAGCGCAGCGAGAAAGCGUUGCCGUAGGCAACGACCCGAAGGGCGAAGCGCGCAGCGCUGAGUCAUCCUUCCCCCACCACCA
Molecule: small RNA, 109 nt
Filed under: Salmonella enterica subsp. enterica serovar Oranienburg
Lineage: Bacteria; Pseudomonadati; Pseudomonadota; Gammaproteobacteria; Enterobacterales; Enterobacteriaceae
Also listed under: 1 other name
Description: partial RtT sRNA
Rfam family: RtT RNA
About the family: This family represents a bacterial cis-regulatory element known as RtT RNA. The exact function of RtT is unknown although it is thought that it may be involved in changing the cellular response in relation to amino acid starvation.
Source: RNAcentral